This 22-nucleotide non-coding RNA is filed under the name Arabidopsis thaliana (thale cress). Lineage: Eukaryota; Viridiplantae; Streptophyta; Magnoliopsida; Brassicales; Brassicaceae. The record is from RNAcentral.
CUUAAGAUGCGCCAAGAUCCUC